RNAcentral lists this ribosomal RNA (495 nucleotides) under uncultured bacterium. RNAcentral describes it as "partial 16S ribosomal RNA". It matches the Rfam family "Bacterial small subunit ribosomal RNA", at positions 28 to 507 of the family's 1533-position model. The record is from RNAcentral.
GACGAACGCUGGCGGCGUGCCUAAUACAUGCAAGUAGAACGCUGAAGGAGGAGCUUGCUUCUCUGGAUGAGUUGCGAACGGGUGAGUAACGCGUAGGUAACCUGCCUGGUAGCGGGGGAUAACUAUUGGAAACGAUAGCUAAUACCGCAUAAGAGUAGAUGUUGCAUGACAUUUGCUUAAAAGGUGCAAUUGCAUCACUACCAGAUGGACCUGCGUUGUAUUAGCUAGUUGGUGAGGUAACGGCUCACCAAGGCGACGAUACAUAGCCGACCUGAGAGGGUGAUCGGCCACACUGGGACUGAGACACGGCCCAGACUCCUACGGGAGGCAGCAGUAGGGAAUCUUCGGCAAUGGACGGAAGUCUGACCGAGCAACGCUGCGUGAGUGAAGAAGGUUUUCGGAUCGUAAAGCUCUGUUGUAAGAGAAGAACGAGUGUGAGAGUGGAAAGUUCACACUGUGACGGUAUCUUACCAGAAAGGGACGGCUAACUACGUG